RNAcentral lists this long non-coding RNA (2011 nucleotides) under Helianthus annuus (common sunflower). The record is from RNAcentral. Lineage: Eukaryota; Viridiplantae; Streptophyta; Magnoliopsida; Asterales; Asteraceae.
GCCAUCAUACAUUAUCCACGUUUCACAUAACCGACCUCUCCCCAUAUUAGGGUUUCAAUCCAGUUUUACUUGAAGAAAGAUAUCAACCUCCCUAUACACCAUUCUAGGUCUAAAUCAAAGAACACAACCAUCGACCUGUCUGCUCCAUAUAUUAGGGUUUUGUUGCUUCACCAUUCCAUGCUCAGGUGUUCGAUAAAAUGCUUGUACCAGAUCGUUGAAGAAAUUGGAUUCGUUGAACAAAAAACGGCUCUAUAUUUUCCUUUGGUCAUCAGCUCGUCAAAAUUAGGGGCUUUUUUGGAUUGGAAUUUGGUGCAUUUGGAGUCAUGAGCACUGGGGAUUUCCUCAACUUUUAUUUUUCUAAACUUAAGUUUCCAUCUAAAGAUGGGAUGGUGGAUGGCAACAUGCUGCGAUGGCUGCAAUGGUGAAUGGCAGCGGUGCUGCAAGCAACCUCGUGGUCGAUCCAUAGGUCAAUAAUUACAAGAAGAUAAUUGGUAUGUCAAAGUUUCUAUUAACCAACACAAGCAACUUGAAGGAUCUCUAUUCUCUCCUUUCUUCUGGAAUUUUCAUCCAUCAUGAAAAACUGGUGAUUCAAUCUCCUAAACCACGAACUGAAUGAUAAUAUAGUAAACUUGAAAGAGAUUUGGCAGCACAAACACAUGUCAAAGGUCGUGAAGCAGAGAUAGCUGCUUUGGAAGCUAGAAUAUCAGGUUAUCGAAAAGGUUUUAAUCGGCAAAAGGCAAAGAGGGACGAACUUCAUGAUAAGCGAAAGUACACCUGCAUUUUUUUCUAUUAAUUUAUCAAUUUAGAGGUGUGCAAUGUAACUAUAUUGGUCUGAACGAAGAACAUGAUUUUUGCAAUAACCAGAACUGAUUAUACUGGUUCCGGUUUGGUUGUACAGUUCUGUCCUAAUUUUGCAUCUCAUGGUUCGAUUUAUUGCACCAGACACUGAAGGUCAUUACUUAGGUAGGUUAUUGUGGGGGACAGAAAGUGCAGUUAAUGCUGAAAUUGUGCGUCUUAAAGCUGAAGUUGUGAAGGCAGAAAAAGCCUUAGAUCAUGCUACUCCUAGGGACAUAAGAAGGGGAAUCAAUUGUAUUUGGAGAAUCUGCAGGGAGUACAACAUUUCCGGAGUGUAUGGUUCAAUUAUUGAGUUGCUUGAAUGUGAUGAAAACUUAUUUACUGCUGUUGAAGUGACCGUUGGAAACAGCUUAUUCCAUGUUGUGGUUGAAAGUGAUGAAAUAUCAACUCAAGUAAAUCGACACCUUAGUGGAGAGAAAGUUGGUAGAGUUACAUUUAUACCCCUUAACAGGGUUAAGGCUCCUUAUGUCACUUAUCCACCAACUUCUGAUGCCAUUCCUCUUCUUAAGAAACUGAAAUAUUCCCACAGUUAUCAUCAAGCAUUUUCUCUAGGGCUGUUCGUGAGCCGAGCCGAGACGAGCUAGGGCAUGCUCGGGCUCGACUAGAUUAUAAACCGAGCUAGCUCGGCUCGGAUUUGAAACCGAGCUGAAAAUCUAAGCUCAGGCUCGGCUUGGUUUUAAACCGAACUGGCUCGGCUCGGCUAGCUUUGCGCUCGGUUGGUUGAUCACAAACGGAACUGGUCUAGCCUCGUACCCGAUUGACACAGUGCGAAGAAGAAUGAUGAUGACAUCUGGGGAAGCCGUCAAGUACUAGAACAUAUUUGACGCGUUCAACCAAAUCGUGAAAAAGGAAGGUGUCAAAUCAUUGUUCAAGGGUGGAGGUGCUAACAUUCUCAGAGCUAGAGCUGUGGCUGGUGCAGGUGUGCUUGCCGGUUGACAAUGGUCAAGAUCCAACUCUUGAUUCUCUUGUUAACUUGGCAAGCCUUUUGAUUAUUUAUGAUUUUAUUGCCUUGUAGUUUACAUUUGUUUCAUGUAUUAAUCAAAUUGGCACUUUGUUUCAUGUAUUAAUCAAUGGUGACGUUUGUGACAUUAUGUAUGAUUUUACUACCUUUUAGUUUACAUUUGUUUCAACACAUAUUAAGAUCAAUACCAACACA